UCGAUCUUCUCUGCUCGUCAAUGUGCUUCGAUCCUCUGCUCCUCUCCUCGUUGAGCUUCGAUUCUCUACUCGUUGAGAUUCAAUCAUCUGCUUGUUGAGCUUCGGUCCUCUACUUCUCUUUUCGUCGAGCUUCGAUCCUCUCUGCUCGCGUUCAUCACCAUCAGUCACUGUUCGAUUAUCACUGCUCGUGUUUUUGGUGAGAUUCUCAUUUUUGGCAUUCUUCUGCAGGCUGCUUUUCUAUUAGCUUUGGUUGGAUCAUAAGUUGCAUAUUCUGCUGCACAAGCUACAGUGGUAACUCUCUCGGAGGCUUACAAAACAACUAAAAAUCACGAUCAUUUCCAAGAAACACAUCACUACAAGGAGAUUGAUAAAAAAAUAUUUACGGAUCUUUGAUAAACACUAAGUGCAAAUUGUGCAUAUAUAGCAAAUUGUUGCGGCAUGACCUCAAAUACAAUGGAAACAAGAACUACUCUAAAGCGGAGAAGACUGGUAAAACAGUAUCAAAGCAACAAGGAAUUCAUGCAGAAAAAUACAGCAAAAAUUCAUAAGAAGCAGCAUUUUAUCUCUCCCAUGAUGGCUGGUGGUCAUAGACAAAAGAGAGUGACUCCUAUGCCUUCUAAGCAAA
Long non-coding RNA from Arachis stenosperma, 625 nucleotides. RefSeq lists it as uncharacterized. The transcript has 4 exons. The record is from RefSeq and is a predicted model, not a curated record. NCBI's taxonomy places the organism in Eukaryota, Viridiplantae, Streptophyta, Magnoliopsida, Fabales, Fabaceae.